Small nuclear RNA from Suncus etruscus (white-toothed pygmy shrew), 105 nucleotides. Lineage: Eukaryota; Metazoa; Chordata; Mammalia; Eulipotyphla; Soricidae. The record is from RefSeq and is a predicted model, not a curated record.
GUGCUCGCUUUGGCAGCACAUAUACUAAAAUUGGAACGAUACAGAGAAGAUUAGCAUCCCCUGCGCAAGGAUGACACGCAAGUUUGUGAAGCGCUCCAUAUUUAA